Long non-coding RNA from Papilio xuthus (Asian swallowtail), 528 nucleotides. RefSeq lists it as uncharacterized. The record is from RefSeq and is a predicted model, not a curated record. The transcript is spliced from 3 exons. Lineage: Eukaryota; Metazoa; Arthropoda; Insecta; Lepidoptera; Papilionidae.
UUGAGUGAGAUCAAUUUUUGCGUUAUUUUGCUUUCAUAAUUUUAUUGUGCGUUUAAAUAAUCUGCUCGCGUAAUUUGGUAAUUUCUUAGUUUCGCAUUCAAUAUGUUGUAUUCAAACAGAAGUGUUUUAACCUAGAAAUAAAGAUAAAAAAUUUGUAUCGAGGUCAAGGUUUUUUUGAUUGUUCAGUCUAUUAUUAAAUUUAUUCAUUCUUACAUCUGUGAAAAUGGCGGAGAUAUGAAUUUUUGAACAGAAACACGUAUUCCUCAUAUAUUCGAGCAGAUGUGACGCACGUGCAGCGGACGCGGUGGCCCGCGUGCGAGUGUGUCGACUGUGAACUUCAGACUGUACUGUUCUGGUCCUUCAGCUACGUAGAUGGAGAAAUAAAUUCGCUGUUACGUUUCAUCUGUAAAAAAAUAAACUUAUGUCUACAAAAAUUUUAUGGUUUGUAAGCUAUACUAUAUUCAAGAGGAAGGGGAUAAAUGUAGAUGUCUCUUGAAAAUAAUUCUAUAUUGUAUGUUAUAUUGUAUG